Molecule: long non-coding RNA, 322 nt
Organism: Xyrauchen texanus (razorback sucker)
Lineage: Eukaryota; Metazoa; Chordata; Actinopteri; Cypriniformes; Catostomidae
Exons: 3
Source: RefSeq, a predicted model, not a curated record
GUUCUGACGAUUUGUGCUACCCAUCGAUAUGUGCUACUUACUGGUUAUGCGCAUGUGCAGACUCACAGUUUUGUUCUGCGUUACCACGCCCAUAAAUCUAUGCAUCCUUGCUGUGGAGACUUGACGGGAAUGCAGAUGAUUACUGCGUUGUAUGCUCCUUGCUUGAAAAAGAUGCAGAUCAGAGCAUGAUUGAAAUGGUGCAGUGUGAUUUGUGCUGUAGGUGGGCACAUUUUCAAUGUGCCAAAUAUGAAAAAGAUAGUUGUGCAACAUAUACGUGCAAAAAGUGCCAGAGUGUGUGAAAUGUGUACAAAGUAGGUAGCAG